CACCGCGCUACCGGCUUCAGCAACUUGUCCUGAUUAGUGAAAUCACUUAAACCCAUACAGUUUAUUAACUGUCGUUUCGUAAUCACAAAAUGUCUCAAAAUUGCAAGACGACAUACACAGCAGCAACGACGAGGGAUGCAAACAACAACACCUUAUACCAUGGUGCGGUGGCCCAGGGAUACGGAGGUAGGGGGUACUCGCCCCCCACAGUUACCACCAAUGGAAAUUACCAUCAGCAAGUGACGGCGAAAGUCCUCUUCGGCAGCGUUACGACGAUCAAUGACCUCAGCUACAAGCGCCAGGAGAAGGCCGAACGGGAGGUGCGACGGACGCACUAGCUCCAACUAGCGACAGACAACGAAAAUGUGAUAAGAAAUUUAUGGAAGCCGAAGGAGUGAUCUCGGAAGACAGAAUAAUGUUAAAAAUAACUUGCAUAACGUAUUUUACCUAGUGUUUUACUGUUAGGUAGACUUCAUGAAGUACAUACUUAGAUAUUUUGUUGUAAAAUACAUUAAAUUAAUGUUAUUAUAUUAUAUAUACUAACCUUUUAUUCUAUUAUCUAAUUUUUAUGUCACAAAAAUAUAAUCUAUAUUUGCUUUAAAAUAAGCAUUUUUAAUCUGGUUUCUUGAUGCACGUCGUGAAUGGUUUUGAGUUUAUUUUUGUUUUGUUUUAUAACAUUUUAUUAUAAUUAAUCAUAGCCUGUGAUCUGUUGUAAUUAUUACAUAGCUAGGUAUAUGUACUCGUUAUAUCUGAAUACUAUAAUUAUAGUUCUGGCAUACAUUUGUGCCGAUUUUCUUACAUUAUGCCUAUACGGGGUCCAAUGUAUUGACACGAAAUUAUUUACUUUAUUUCUAUAAAUCCAUAUAACUAUACUAAUAAAUACUCAAUUAGAGUUAAAUUAGACGUAAUUUAAAUUUACAAUUUAGAUUUUAAAAAUUCGGGUUUUGAAACGAGCCA
Molecule: long non-coding RNA, 957 nt
Organism: Hyposmocoma kahamanoa
Lineage: Eukaryota; Metazoa; Arthropoda; Insecta; Lepidoptera; Cosmopterigidae
Exons: 4
Source: RefSeq, a predicted model, not a curated record